RNAcentral lists this ribosomal RNA (460 nucleotides) under uncultured bacterium. RNAcentral describes it as "partial 16S ribosomal RNA". It matches the Rfam family "Bacterial small subunit ribosomal RNA", at positions 338 to 795 of the family's 1533-position model. The record is from RNAcentral.
CCUACGAGAGGCAGCAGUGAGGAAUAUUGGUCAAUGGGCGGGAGCCUGAACCAGCCAAGUCGCGUGAGGGAAGACUGUCCUAUGGAUUGUAAACCUCUUUAGUCAGGGAGCCAUACCGGUCACGCGUGCCCGGAGGGAGAGUACCCGCAGACUAAGCAUCGGCUAACUCCGUGCCAGCAGCCGCGUUCAUACAGAGGAUGCGAGCGUUAUCCGGAUUUAUUGGGUUUAAAGGGUGCGUGGGCGGAUUUUUAAGUCAGCGGUAAAAUGUCCGGGCUCAACCCGGGCCGGCCGUUGAUACUGGGGAGCUUGAGUGGGCGAGAAGUAUGCGGAAUGCGUGGUGUAGCGGUGAAAUGCAUAGAUAUCACGCAGAACUCCGAUUGCGAAGGCAGCAUACCGGCGCCCGACUGACGCUGAGGCACGAAAGCGUGGGGAUCGAACAGGAUUAGAUACCCCUGUAGUC